This 359-nucleotide ribosomal RNA is filed under the name Chroococcidiopsis sp. KP46-5. RNAcentral's name for it is "bacterial SSU rRNA". It matches the Rfam family "Bacterial small subunit ribosomal RNA", at positions 375 to 749 of the family's 1533-position model. Lineage: Bacteria; Bacillati; Cyanobacteriota; Cyanophyceae; Chroococcidiopsidales; Chroococcidiopsidaceae. The record is from RNAcentral.
GCGAAAGCCUGACGGAGCAAUACCGCGUGGGGGAGGAAGGCUCUUGGGUUGUAAACUCCUUUUCUCAGGGAAGAAGGUCUGACGGUACCUGAGGAAUCAGCAUCGGCUAACUCCGUGCCAGCAGCCGCGGUAAUACGGAGGAUGCAAGCGUUAUCCGGAAUCAUUGGGCGUAAAGCGUCCGUAGGUGGCAUUUCAAGUCUGCUGUCAAAGGUCGGGGCUUAACUCCGAACAGGCAGUGGAAACUGAGAAGCUAGAGUAUGGUAGGGGCAGAGGGAAUUCCUGGUGUAGCGGUGAAAUGCGUAGAGAUCAGGAAGAACACCGGUGGCGAAAGCGCUCUGCUAGGCCAUAACUGACACUCA